Molecule: ribosomal RNA, 654 nt
Filed under: uncultured bacterium
Lineage: Bacteria
Description: bacterial SSU rRNA
Rfam family: Bacterial small subunit ribosomal RNA
Source: RNAcentral
CUGCAGUGAGGAAUAUUGGACAAUGGGCGGGAGCCUGAUCCAGCCAUGCCGCGUGCAGGAAGACGGCCCUAUGGGUUGUAAACUGCUUUUAUACGGGAAGAAACACUCCCUCGUGAGGGAGCUUGACGGUACCGUAAGAAUAAGGAUCGGCUAACUCCGUGCCAGCAGCCGCGGUAAUACGGAGGAUCCAAGCGUUAUCCGGAAUCAUUGGGUUUAAAGGGUCCGUAGGCGGGACAAUAAGUCAGCGGUGAAAGUCUGUGGCUCAACCAUAGAAUUGCCAUUGAUACUGUUGUUCUUGAGUGUUUAUGAAGUGGUUGGAAUAUGUAGUGUAGCGGUGAAAUGCAUAGAUAUUACAUAGAACACCGAUUGCGAAGGCAGAUCACUAAUAAAAUACUGACGCUGAUGGACGAAAGCGUAGGUAGCGAACAGGAUUAGAUACCCUGGUAGUCUACGCCGUAAACGAUGGUUACUAGCUGUUCGGUCGUAAGACUGAGUGGCUAAGCGAAAGUGAUAAGUAACCCACCUGGGGAGUACGUUCGCAAGAAUGAAACUCAAAGGAAUUGACGGGGGCCCGCACAAGCGGUGGAGCAUGUGGUUUAAUUCGAUGAUACGCGAGGAACCUUACCAGGGCUUAAAUGUAGUUUGACCGAUUUG